This 75-nucleotide microRNA precursor is filed under the name Onchocerca volvulus. RNAcentral describes it as "mir-84 microRNA precursor family". It matches the Rfam family "mir-84 microRNA precursor family". The record is from Rfam by way of RNAcentral. Lineage: Eukaryota; Metazoa; Nematoda; Chromadorea; Rhabditida; Onchocercidae.
GAGGUUGAUGAGGUAGUUUAUAAAGCUGCGAGAGUAGAUAUAAGCUCGCAGAUUUUAAGCUAUCUCGACUACCUU